AAAUUGUUAGAGACAGAGUGUCCCCAGUACACGAAGGAAAAGAAUGCAGACGCCUGGUUCAAAGAGUUGGACUUCACUGCAGAUGGUGCCAUUAACUUCGAGGAGUUCCUCAUCCUGGUGAUCAAGGUGGCCCUGGCAGCCCACGAAGCAAGCCACCAGGAGUAGCAGCGCUAUGACCCGUGGGGCUGGCCCUUGGACUUGUCCCUGCACAACAAUAAAGUAGCUGAUGCCUCAGGA
Equus quagga is the source of this 237-nucleotide long non-coding RNA. RefSeq lists it as uncharacterized. NCBI's taxonomy places the organism in Eukaryota, Metazoa, Chordata, Mammalia, Perissodactyla, Equidae. The record is from RefSeq and is a predicted model, not a curated record. The transcript is spliced from 2 exons.